Vespula vulgaris is the source of this 1043-nucleotide long non-coding RNA. RefSeq lists it as uncharacterized. The record is from RefSeq and is a predicted model, not a curated record. NCBI's taxonomy places the organism in Eukaryota, Metazoa, Arthropoda, Insecta, Hymenoptera, Vespidae. The transcript is spliced from 4 exons.
GCGCCAAGAGCGAUUGCGGGGCGUGGGGGAUGAAUACCUCAUAUCAGAGGACGAGCGGUAAAACCGUUGGUCAUUCCUUCGGUGGCUGUGGAACUAGCAAUAUGCCAGAUAGUGCCUUAGUAUAUAUAUUUUCUACUUUUAUACAUCAUACGUCACAAAGGGGAUGACCGAAACUACUUAAAGGGAAACGUUUUUCCAAUAGGCAAUAUUUAUUGCGAAGGAUCCGAAUUUAGCAAUAUCUGAAUUGUAAUACAUUUCAGAGGAGAUACACGAAUUUCAACUACGGCCACCGUGAUACUUAAAUAUUCGACAUCCGAAGUGAAACAUAUUUAAAUUGGCACCUGCUCUUCUUCCGUACAUCCGACGAUACAUACUACGUGGAUAGUACAAAUGUCUGAUCAUCAACCCGAUUAAGGGAGGAUGUGCUAUUUGAAAUUGAACCAUCACAAAUCCUCCGGAUGGUAUUCGAGUCAAUUUGGCGAGAAAGGCACCUAAUCAUCUGGUGUGCGGAAGCAACAUGUCGCCAUUGCUAAGCUAUCACGAUCGCAACCAUCCAUUUGAAUACUGGAUUUUAAUAAACGAGCACAUUGGACUGUGGAAACAGAAGAUCGUUUCAAGAAACAUUUCUAAAAUGUAAGCAGCCAUUGCUCGUUGAUUAAUAUACUUGAAAUGCCUGUAUCUUCUAUGAAUGUAUUAUAAUUUAGAUAUUGGUAAAUUCAGAUUUUUCGCAAUAAAUGUCGCCUAUUGGAAUUGCUUUCGCCUUUAAUUUGUUUCCCAUAUCUCUAAAACCGGUCCAAUUGCGUAGAUUGUUUAAGACCGAUCAAAGUCAUUCGUACGUUUUAAUUGGAUAAUUACCAAACUUAAAGCAAAUGAUGCCUUUUAAAUGCCUUCUAAAUACCCUUUUUAUAAUAUAGAAAUGAAAUUUUAUAAUAGAUAUUUUACAAAUGACUACAGCUAAAUUUAAAGAAUAUUGAUGUAUUAAACGAAUGACUAGUAUUACUGAUGAAAUUGAUUUGGCCGUUUGGAUUAUUUGAAAAGAUAUU